UGUUUGGUGAAGUUGUACCAAAAUCGACAUUCGGAUGUCACACCGACGGCUUAUACCACUUUUAGUAUACUGGGAGGAACGAUUUUGUGCGGUAAAUCUCGUGUUGCAAAACAUUUUAUUGGRUUUUUGGAUGUGGAAAUUACGAUUCCAGAAAUUAAUAUCUCCUACAAUUAUUUUUCGUGUUCUCGAACAACAUAAAAAUUACAAUUUUUGUUCAUUGUGCGGCUCAGGAAGAUAUUUUUUGGUAGAUGGAAACUUAAAAUGUUCUACGACAAGUAAGUUGACUGUAAAUGAUGAAAUAUGUUCUAAACUGAUGCGUCAUGGUGUUGGAUAUUAAAAUUACAUACAGGGUGUGUCAGUACCGUGGAGGGAGAAAUAAAAAAUGCUCUUGGCACGAUUGGGAUCAUUUUCAAGGGCCCUCCCAUAUUUGUCGCUGUUGUAAUCAUCGUUUUUCUCCUUUUGUUGAUUUACAUAUCCUUGAACAUUUAUUACUUCGGGGCUGCUCGCAACGUUUUGCGACGGUUUCGGCAACGAAAUUUCGAAGACCCAAACCUUGCACCACCAAACACACAUCGUUGGCGGUCACUUAUAAUUGCAGUUGCAAUAAAUAUUGCAAUAAUCAUAUUGGGACUAGUUUUGUUAUAUUGCACAGACAAAAUCAAUUUUGGAAGUUUUAUUUUACUAAUUUUAGCAAGCAAUGCUUUAUUAUACACCCUGAUGUAUACCUGCAUGAAGAGAUGUGUUUAUGGUGAAAGAAUUUGCGUUCAAGCAGUCAUUUAUGGGGUCCUCGCAGCGGCAUGUUUGAUCCCAUCUGGAAUGUUCUUCUUCAACCAGAGCUCAAAAUGGACGAAAAGUCCAGCUCAAUCCCGCCAACUCAACCAACAAUGCAUCUUCGCGGACUUCUUCGACAGCCACGACCUCUGGCACUUUUUCAGCUCCAUGGCACUCUACUUCUCCUUCAUGUACUUGUUGUGUAUCGACGACAACCUUUACGAAAGACGCACAAAUAUCCCUUUAUUCUAAAAUAAAUAAAAACUUUUUGUGAUAUUUUGUCUGGAGUUAACAUUAAAUAACUCAAUACCUAA
Molecule: RNA transcript, 1085 nt
Organism: Tribolium madens (black flour beetle)
Lineage: Eukaryota; Metazoa; Arthropoda; Insecta; Coleoptera; Tenebrionidae
Gene name: systemic RNA interference defective protein 1-like
Exons: 5
Source: RefSeq, a predicted model, not a curated record